Long non-coding RNA from Chrysemys picta bellii (western painted turtle), 1671 nucleotides. Lineage: Eukaryota; Metazoa; Chordata; Testudines; Emydidae. The record is from Ensembl.
CUUGCUCUCCCUGGGCUCUAAACUGCUCGGUUAGGGCUCUGUUCAAACAGCAAAUCAAAGGACACGGGGGGGAGCUCCCCAGUCAUUCUGGCUUUGCAGCUGUCUCACCCUCAUUUCCAUGGAAAGCAGAACGCUGCCAGGAAGCAGCUGAUACUAACCCCCUGUUGCUGGGUUGGGCAUGGGAACGCCCCCUGACUGCGGCUGCCUUUAUAGAGCCCGGCUCCUGGUGUGCUGCUGCUUGUGCCACUCCCCGGAGCUAGCAUGUCACCCAUGCCCAAGGCGGCCUUCGUAGGCAUGCUCCUCUUCUGCCUGUGCCCCGGGCACCGAACAGGUAAGCAGCAAAGGGCGUGCAGAGUCCCUGCGGGCAGGAUUGCAGAGGGCAUUCACCCAAGGACUCUUAGCUGUGUCUUUUCCCAUGCAGCCCUGCGGGCCCAGGCAGUCCACGUGCCCACGAGGUGCAUGUGCUUGAAGUUCCAAGAGAAGGUUAAUCCCAGAUUCAUAAUGGAUUUCCAGAUCAUUGAGAAGGGAGCCCACUGCCACCGCCAUGAGAUCAUAUUAACCGUGAAGCAAUGGAGAGGCCCGAGAGAAACGUGCCUUGACUCAUCCAGGAGGCAAGGGAAGAAUCUGCUGCACUGCUGGAAGAGGUCAGUGCUCGGAGAAAUGGGCCCUGGCCCCUGUUGGCAAUUGCCAGCACCUGCUCCCCAGGCUGGCCCUUCGCUGUGUGCAAUGGCAGCACUGGGCCAGAUUGCGAUGCUGGCUGCACAGCUGCCUGGGCUGCAGGGAAGGCAGUGGGGACACUGCAAGUAGGGUGACCAGAUGUCCCGAUUUUAUAGGGACAGUCCCGAUUUUUGGGUCUUUUUCUUCGAUAGGCUCCUAUUACCCCCCACUCGCUGUCCCGAUUUUUCCCACUUGCUGUCUGGUCACCCUAACUGCAAGCUGCUGCCAGUGUACAGAGAUCAGAGCUUGGCCUGUUUGGUUUGUCCCUCUGGGUCCCAGUGGCUGAGAGGCCCUUGGUCCUGCUCUGAAGGAGCCUCCUUCUCUUACAGACACCGGAAGGACCCCAGGAAGCAGCGCCACUGCAUGAAAAGGGGGCAGUGACACAGGACCAGGGCAAAGCAGUGAGCACGAUGCACAGGUAAGGCCACGCUCUGGGAUCCAGGGGCAGGCCUCCCGGGGCUCCCCCUGCAUGGGGCCUAGCUGCGGCCACGCGAGAUGAAGCAGGGAGAACUCCCCGCCCAGCUCGUGGCCCACAGCAGGACUUUGAUCCACAGCCUGUCAGCCCAGGCUGCUCUCGCAGUGAGGUGACAAGUGAGUGCGGCCUGGCCAGGCCAGGGUGAGGCUGGGCCAAGAUGUGGGACUGCACACCUUGGGUUUGCCAUACUCUUCCUCCCCAGUUGAGGCUUAUGAGCAGGGUAUCCAUUAUGCAGAGGUAUGAGCCAGAACCUAGGGUUGCCAAUUUUCUAAUUGCACAAAACUGAACACCCUUGCCCGGCCCCUUUCCCUUCCCUGCCCCUUCUUUGAGGCCCCGCCCUCACUCACUCCAGCACCCGUCCCUCCAUCGCUCACUUUUCCCCACCCUCACUCACUUUCACUGCAGGAGCAGGCUCAGGGCUGGGGCAGGGGGUUGGGGUGUGCGAGAGGAUGCAGACUCCUGCUGGGGGUGUGGGCUCU